Cyprinus carpio carpio is the source of this 504-nucleotide long non-coding RNA. The record is from Ensembl. Lineage: Eukaryota; Metazoa; Chordata; Actinopteri; Cypriniformes; Cyprinidae.
UAAACCACAGACGGGUUGGCGAGGGGCCAGCUCUCCAUGUAGUUUUGUUUUUGAGAAAAAUAAAUGACAGUGAAAACAGUUGGACUCUACACUGCACUAUAGCGCACUGGCCCCAAACACUGCACAGAGGGGCCCGGACAACUGUGCAUCAUUUGGAUUAUUUGGAUGAUGUCAUAAAGCACUGAUCUGUCCAGAUAGACUCAGCCGCUGGUGUCAGGAACUUGUGGUGUUUAUCUAUUGCUAUGACUCAAGGUAUUUGUGUGCUUUGUCCUCAGGUCUGUACUUUCUGUUCUCUAUAAGGUUAUUGACUACAACUGAAGCAAACACACACACACACACACACACACACACACACACACACACACACACACACACACAGUGACCAACAAAGAGAGAGUGUAUGACCUGUCUGUCAAUUGAUCUCUCUAUACAUCUACCUAUCUGUCUGUUUACUGUACCUGUCUGAAUGUCUGUUUAUCGCCUGUCUAUUAUCUAGUAACUGGC